Molecule: RNA transcript, 6476 nt
Organism: Parus major (Great Tit)
Lineage: Eukaryota; Metazoa; Chordata; Aves; Passeriformes; Paridae
Gene: WTAP
Gene name: WT1 associated protein
Exons: 8
Source: RefSeq, a predicted model, not a curated record
CGCGGAGCUGGUGGCGGCAGGCGCGGAGGUGGCGGCGUUUCGGCCCCGCUCGAUGUGAGGCGGAGCGCGGCCCAGGCAAGCGGCGUGCGAGGGGCGCGGGGCCUCCGCGCCGCGGGCGGGAGAGUUCACAAUGACAAAUGAAGAACCUCUCCCAAAGAAGGUUCGCCUUAGUGAAGCAGAUUUUAAGGUUUUACCUAGAGAUGAGCUUAUCCUAAGGUGGAAACAAUAUGAAGCAUACGUGCAAGCUCUGGAGGGCAAGUACACAGACCUUAAUUCUAACGAUGUGACGGGGCUGAGAGAAUCUGAAGAGAAGUUGAAACAGCAGCAGCAAGAGUCUGCCCGAAGAGAAAAUAUUCUGGUGAUGAGGCUGGCAACUAAGGAACAGGAGAUGCAAGAGUGUACUAAUCAGAUUCAGUACCUCAAGCAAGUCCAGCAGCCUAGUGUUGCCCAACUGCGAUCAACAAUGGUGGACCCAGCCAUCAACUUGUUUUUCCUAAAAAUGAAAGGUGAACUGGAACAGACUAAAGACAAACUGGAACAAGCCCAAAAUGAACUGAGUGCCUGGAAAUUUACGCCUGAUAGAGGCCUGACAGCGUCGGACUAUUCUGAAGAAAUGGCCAUCUUCGAAAAAAAUCUUUUCUAGAACAUGUAGACAUUUGCAAAAUUGUUCUAUUUGAAGAAAAUAGAGGGAGAAACAGAAGUCUUAAGUCUGUGGCACACUGUGUCUACAGACAGUUUGGAGGAGAGAGAACCUAGAGAUUAUAAAUCAUGAAUUGAACAUGUAAAAUUCCCGUAAAAUGUAGAAGUGGAAUAUGCUUCGCUCUUAACCUUGAGCCUAGUGACUUAGAGACACUGUAAGUCAGUUUUGCCAAUAAGACUGUGGACUUCCUGCUUGUUCACUGAACUGCUGGGUCAAAACUCGAUGAGGUGAAUUUUGCAUUAAAGAGUUUACUUGCUAACCAGUUUUGAAUAGCCACAAGAGUGCUAUUUGAUAUCACAACAGUGGUAGUGUACACAUUUGACUGUUUAGCCUUUGGGCUCUAGCACUUGAUGCAGCCUUAAGUCACUGUUGCUAAAUAAUGAACUGUUUUCUGGAUGGUUGGUAAUAUUGUGGACGCCUCAAAAUUAGAACUGUACAAAAAUGUACAUUCCAUCUAAAUGCAGGUUUAAAAUUGUCUGAAGCAACAUAUAUUUGAUCACAACUAGCAUGUAUAAGAAAAACUGGUUGUGAUAAGAAUUUCACUGCAUGUUUUCAUGCAGAAAUGAGAAUUUUUCGAUCUUCAUACUAAGAACUGAUCUCAAAUGCUUAAUACAGAAGGCACAAGAUGGCAACUGUCUUCAGUGUUGGUGGGGUAUUUUUAUUCCGUUGUACACCUGGGUUUUUUUGUAUUGUGCUUCUCUAUAAAAUGUGCCUUGAAAUAGUUGUAAUACGUAGUUCAAGGAACACUUCUGGAUAUACUGUUGUAUCGUGAAACUCCUGGGAUGAACGAGAAUUGAACAGGUUGUUAUUUCUGCAUUGUCUCGUUCGCUGCAAACGAAGUCAGUAUUUUAACAAACCAAAAAAACCUUAAAUGCAUGCAUUUUUGUUGGUGGAUUCAGUGAAGGAGUUUUUGCUGCUCUAUUGAUGCCUCUGUUCUGUUGUCCCAAGUUACUUGUAAGAGUAGCAAUCUGGGACAGUUGGGAGUGCACCUCUGAGGUCUGUAAAGCAAAAUGUAGAUUUGGUGUAGCAUUUGUGUGUUUGUUUUCUCCCGUAGCAAAUAGAGGUCUGUUUAGUAAUCUGAGGUUUUAAUUUUUCAAAACAGUUGGGCAACGUUUUAUGACUCAGUUUAAAAAAAUUAAUUUUUAAAUUAAAAAGACAUUCAGCUGUCACAGAAGGUGAUGUAUUCUAACUGUUUUGGUGACUUCUAUUAAGAUGCCGUAACAUAAUUUUGAUUUGGAAGUAUCUUUAACUGUUUGUGCUUCAGGUGAUUAAUACGGGAUCAAAGCGUAUGCAGGUUUAUUUUUUUUUGCAUGAGUAAUGACCUAACAGCAAAAAGAAAAAUCCACAGAAAAAUUUUACCUUUUUAAAAGUGAUACAUCCGGAAUGAUUUUGCUAUAGCAGUAUCUAAGAUUUUAUUGAUCUAGCAUCAAAACAGAGGUAAGACUUAUAUUAAUAAAUCGUUAAUGUGUUACCAAGGCAUUUGUAAAGCUUGCUAUAAUGUGUUGAAAGAAGCAUGCCAUGCAGAUUGCUUAUUUCUAACUUGGGAGUUCAGAAAAUUAUUUAAUACAUUUAGAUACAGGUUGAUGGUUUUCUAAAGUCCUCAGGCUCUGAAUGUGUGAGUACAGCUGAGGAGAGAUGAGUAACUUGCUACUUCCUUUCAAACUCAAGUGUCAAAAGAAAAUGUUAUUUCUGUAGCUGCAACAUACCCUAAUUUACAUUAUACAAUUUUAAGUCAGUGGUGUGAAUGUGCAUAAUUCAUACAUGCAGUGGCUGGAAUAUAGAAAGUUAUAGUUAUUUCCUGGUAAAUUAUUGAGGCUUUGUUAAAUGGGUUAAGAUUUUACUGCUUUUCAUUUCUUGAAAGGUGAAGUAAUAGGCUCAUGUAAAAUAUUUGUAGGUGUUUUUUUAUUCUUUGCAUCUUGCCCCUCUCCCCCUUAAUUGCUUUAAUUGUCCAUACUUGUACACAACUACUCAUUUCAUGGCAUCUGGCCUGGUUUUUAGAAGAGGCAAUGGCCCUAUUCAGAUCCUAAACUGAUGUCCUUGGGGUGGAUAACAUGUUAACUGCAGCCCUAAGCAGAGUUAGUUCCGGACCUUAGUGUAGAUAAGGCUGUGCAGCAUAAACAUUGCUGAUGUCUGAAGGGGGAAAUGAAAGGGCAUGUAAUCAAAGGAAUGGUUAUGCUAAGCCAUUUUAACCAUCAUUAAGCAGAGUAUAGAUAUGGAAAAAAAUUAGUUGAAAUGUCAUUUUGCAGUAAGCCUAGUACAACAAACUUUAGUCUUCUGAAAUUUAACCACUUAUAUUCUUACAGGUUUUGUUGCAUGUAUGUUCAAGAGGAUUUGUGAAAACAAUGCUGAACUUAGUUUUACAGAUCAUAGGAAUUGUUUUAAUAGUUAAUGGAUUUAAUGCUCUUGAAUAUAUUGUCCUUUUUGUAAAUUGCAAGGGUUAUUCUCUGCUAGUUCAGAACAUCUGGAAAAAUUCUGAUGGGAAGAAAUAGCAUUAUAGGUAACUAUGCAAAUUUCUAUACAGGUAAUAAAUAUUUUACAUUUUGGCAGGAGUUAACCUGAAGAUAUUAAUGGGAUUCUAAAUUUGUCCCAAUUCCAAGGUAACUGGUACUUCCUGAUUCUGCAGUUGAUGUUGGUUUGUGAAGAGAAAAACAUUAAAUGACUUAAGCAUUGUAAACUUUUUCUACUUGCAGUAAUAAUGAAUACAGUAACAGGAAUUUGCCAAUGGCUAAAAAUCAUGUCUGCCUAAUAACUUUUGGGAUCUGUCACAUUGGUUAUCUCCAAAGUGGUCCUGCUUUGCACAGAAUGAACAUCUCUAAGGAAACUUGCAUCUUAAAUGUGCGACUUGGACUGUAUUAGGUCGGCACAAUUUAAACUUCAAGGACCUGGCAUUGGACAUCACAUCAAGAAAGAAAACAGGCUGCUGCCUUUAGCAGAUUUUCAGGCCUCCAGGACUUUACACAGCCAGAUUCCUUCUGGAGCAGCCCAUCUGAAAGAUUUGGGAAAGUCAGUUGAAAAAUGUUAAAUGGGGCAGAGUUGGCAGAGAACUUAAAAGUUGUUCUAAGACUUGAGUGCUCAGAAGGUAGUUGAUAAGGAAAUUGCUGUUUUAAAUUCUUCUGGUUGGGUAUUUUGGUUGCAGGAGAGAACUGUGGCUGUGAUUGUAGCAGAAAUUUCCUGUUCUAUUUUUUUAAUCCUCAAUUUCUUUUCAGUAUUUGUCACUUGUUUAAAAGCAUAUAAAAAAUUAAAUGACCUUCUUGGUCUUGAAAAGUAACGCAAGUCUUGCUAUUGAAUUCACAAUAAAACUGUUUAAGUUUGGGGGUUUUGGCAGAGCUUACACUUCUAUAGAAAAGAAGACAGCUUCAUUAUGGUGCUGAGCCUAUUAAAAGAACUGUUUGGGGAUGCUAUCCUGACCUGGCAGACUAAGAGUCCUAAAGGACUUUAAUUUUUCUUUCGUGGAGUCAGCUGUAUUGCCUAUAUAUUAAUUUGCAUACUACUUCCUAUAAUGCUUUACAAUGAGAUUUUUAUCAUGAAGAUUAAAGAUGUGUAAUGGUACCAAUUUAGUAAAGAAAAUCUUGUCAGUUCCUACCUGUUUCACAUUUAUUUUAGAAACUGAAUGUCCUGAUGAUCAUUAUUUACAAUCUGAAAUCUGUCAUUUUAAAGGAAGUAAAUAAUAUACCCCUUCCUUGAUGUCCUUCCAAUGUUCAGCUACACUUGCAUUCCUCUUCAUACAGGAUAUACUUAAGAGAUGCUGACCAUAGAAAUCAUAAAGCAGACUCUGCAUGUGACUGUCAAACAUACAAGUAGUGUUGAAAAAUAGACACCUCAUUUUUUUAAACAAGAGUACCUGGACAGCAUUUAAAUAAAUGCUUAAACCCUUUAAGGAAAAAUGGUUGUCAAUAUGAAAAAUGAACAUGAGAUUUAUCAUUUCCCCCAAAGCAACUUCCUUCACCCAAAUUCAGCUAUUGCAUUUCAUUAGUGCAGUAAAUGGGGAAUGAUUGUGCUUAUAAUUUGCUCAUGUAGUUUCUGUGCAGUCCUUGAUCUUUUGAAUUGCAAAACACAUCUUUAAUCAAAUAUUUAACUCCGUUAAGAAUUGGCACAUGCAAGAUUGUGCAUACUGAUAAUCCAGAUGUUGGUAUCAAAAAAGUACAAUAUGCUUAUUCAUAUUUUCAGUAAUAAAACUUGCCUUCCACUUUGUGGGACAGCGACUGAAGAUCAACUGGCGUUGGAACAGCACGUGGUAACUAUAGGGAGACUUUCUGCUAUGACAAUUAUGUUGAGGCAUAAUGUUCCUUGAAUUGUGACAUGCAGAAAUUGCAUCUCCUUUUUGUCUGUAAUUGUGAUUGAGGAAGAUAACUAAAGGUUUUAUAUUCCUUUUGUGAUAGAUGGCUCUUUCCUUUGCAGCCAAACAGGGAAAAAGUUAAUGGCGAAGUGUCGAAUGCUUAUCCAGGAGAAUCAAGAGCUUGGAAGGCAGCUGUCCCAAGGCCGUAUUGCACAGCUUGAGGCAGAAUUGGCUUUACAGAAGAAAUAUAGUGAGGAACUUAAAAGCAGUCAGGAUGAAUUGAAUGACUUCAUCAUCCAGCUUGAUGAGGAGGUAGAGGGUAUGCAGAGUACCAUUCUAGUUCUUCAGCAGCAGUUGAAGGAGACUCGCCAGCAGUUGGCACAGUACCAGCAGCAGCAGUCCCAGGCCUCCAACCCAGGUACCAGCAGGACUCCAUCCUCUGAGCCCACGGAGCAGGGAGAGGCCGUGGGCAAAGACUGCAGCCGCCUGGCAAACGGACCAAGCAACGGCAGCUCCUCCCAUCAGCGGACGUCUGGGCCUGGAUUUUAUAGGGAGGGUAGCGGCACGGAGGAUGACUUCCCAGCUUCUCCAGGGAAUGGUAAUAAGCUGUCCAACCACUCUGAAGAUAGAACUGGUAGAGGAAGUGGUAGCUACAUAAACCAGCUCAGUACUGGGUAUGAAAGUGUAGACUCUCCCACUGGCAGUGAAAACUCUCUCACUCACCACUCAAAUGACACAGACUCCAAUCAUGAUCCUCAAGAGGAGAAAACAGUGAGCAUGAAAGGUAACAGAACUGUGGGUUCUCGUCAUGUCCAGAAUGGUUUGGACUCCAAUGUAAAUGUGCAGGGUUCAGUUUUGUAACAUUUUUCUGCAAAAUUUUUAUACAGUGUCAUUGAAAUUGGGAGAGGAUACUGUCCAGGAGCCGUUUAAAUUAGUGCAUACUUGUCACAAUUUUGCCUUUUUGUGGGUUUCUUUUUGCUUCAAUACCUCUGCCACUUUGGAAAUUUUAACAGUUAAUUACGUUGAAUGUUGCUAAAAGGACGUUUGUGUAGCUCAAGUUAUUUUUAUAUGAGUUAAUGUGAAGUUGAAAUGGAAAAUAUUUCCAUAAAGUAUAACAUAAAUGAUGUCUGUACAAAUCUGUGUAUAUCUAGAACCUGUGCUGUGUAAGGGCAUUCUUACUCAUACUGUUAUACUUAACACCACCUUCAAGAUUUGUCAUAAUAGCUGUGGGUUUAUGACUGCCAAGUUUGCCCAGUACAGUAGUUUUAUCACUAAAAAGAUGGACUUACUGGAGUCCUGUAGUAGUUUCAGUGUUAAUUACAGUUUUUCCCACCAUACAUCUGUGCAUUUUCUCCUUAGGUGACCGAAUGUUUAUGAAUUGUGUGCAUAGUUACUCAGUUUUAAAGAACUGUUGUAUCCUGUUGAUGCAUAUUGCUCUGUGACUCCAAUAUUAUCUUACCUGUACUGACCAAACCUAAAUAAAAACUUUUAAUAAUGUAA